Molecule: ribosomal RNA, 120 nt
Organism: Mesocricetus auratus (golden hamster)
Lineage: Eukaryota; Metazoa; Chordata; Mammalia; Rodentia; Cricetidae
Source: Ensembl
GUCUACGGCCAUACCACCCUGAAUGUGCCCGAUCUCAUCUGAUCUCAGAACUAAGCGGGGUUGGGCCUGGUUAGUACUUGGAUGGGAGACCGUUUAAUAAUGUAUCAUCUCCUUCAAACA